Macrolepiota fuliginosa MF-IS2 is the source of this 84-nucleotide non-coding RNA. The record is from the annotation of a GenBank genome assembly. Lineage: Eukaryota; Fungi; Basidiomycota; Agaricomycetes; Agaricales; Agaricaceae.
GGGUCGAUGGCGUAGUUGGUUAUCGCAUCUGUCUAACACCUCGCGGUUCACAGAAGGUCCUCAGUUCGAACCUGGGUCGACUCA